RNAcentral lists this ribosomal RNA (272 nucleotides) under uncultured bacterium. Its description in RNAcentral is "partial 16S ribosomal RNA". It matches the Rfam family "Bacterial small subunit ribosomal RNA", at positions 524 to 796 of the family's 1533-position model. The record is from RNAcentral.
UACGUAGGGGGCGAGCGUUGUCCGGAUUUACUGGGCGUAAAGAGCGUGUAGGCGGCCGAGCAGGUCCGUUGUGAAAACUGGAGGCUCAACCUCCAGCCGUCGACGGAAACCGUCCGGCUAGAGUCCGGAAGAGGAGAGUGGAAUUCCUGGUGUAGCGGUGAAUGCGCAGAUAUCAGGAAGAACACCAAUGGCGAAGGCAGCUCUCUGGGACGGUACUGACGCUGAGACGCGAAAGCGUGGGGAGCGAACAGGAUUAGAUACCCCCGUAGUCC